AUACAAUAGGCAUGUGGUGGUGGUUAUCUUGUAUUGUCUCCGGGUGGUGCUACCAAAUACAUAUUCAACAUCACAAGUAAGCCCUGAUCAUGUCAAAGGAUAAAAAACAAAGAGAAAAGUGAAGGAAAGAAGCUAGGUACUCUUCCUUUACUUUAACAACACCACUCACAGAGUUGUCUUAUUAUAAAAGCAAGCAAGGAACUCAAUAAAACUGAAGAAAAACGUAAUUCCAAGCUGCAGAAAGGGCAAUUUUGUAGCUAAAAUGAGUUCCUUCUUUAAGCUAUUGAUCACAGGAAGUCUUUUGUUAUUGAAUUUGUUAUCCUAUAUUUGUACAUAUAUUCCACUUAAAUCCCCACAAAGCAUUUUUUAUGCAUUGCCAUAUAACAAUUAGAGCAUGCCUAUAUACAAGACCAGAACUUUAAUACCAGAAUUCCCAAGAAAAAGUCAUGAAAUGAAUACUUUAAACAAGAUUUUCAUCAUUACUCACCUGAAACAGGGCUUUAAUUCACUUUCUGUGAUUGGUUUGAUUACGAUUUUUGCCGUAAGAAUCCUCUGGGGAGGUACUUCAGCCGAGUACUCGUUUAUCAUUAUAAGGUGCAGUGGUCAUGAUGGGGAAGAUGGGCACAUGAAAAACUAACUCAUUGAAGAUACACAGAAGCCCUUGAGUAGUUGAAGAGACUGUAUGUGUGUAUGUGUGUGUGCAUGAGUUAGUAAUGCACGUGCCCUGCUUCUCCAUCUUGCUCUACACACACCUUCUUUGAUUGCUGCAGCAAGAGGCUAGCUACCCCAACUCAUUAAAAAUGGUGAGUUAGAGAUGCUCAGCUGCAAAAAUAUGGAGUCCAUGCUUACACAUUUAUAAUGAGAGAGGCAGGCAAGUAAGUUGAGUUUAAAGGGGAAGAAAGGAAAAGCUAGGUAAUUAGUUGGGUGUGGACCCCGAUGGCCAUGACUAAGCAACCCAAAGGUCCCAAACAGCUUGUCACAACUUUUGUAGGACCACAACUUCAAGUCUAGCUAUAUAUCCCAUCACUUGUUUGCAGAAUUUAUUAAAAACUAUGUUUUAAUAAUCUUCUUUAAUCUCAUAUUGAAGCUGGGGAGAACUGAGGAAAGGAUUCAGCCAAAUACAUGUGCUUCUAAAUUAAAUCCCCACUCAGAAUGUAUAUUUGUUUAAUCAGUAGAGGCAGACAAAGAGAAAAUAAUUGUAUCACAAGAAAAUUCAUGAAGCUCGUGUUGAUGAUCCGAAUGUUGUGGGAAAAUGUAGAAGGAAGGAAGGAAGGAGUGGCCUGGCGUUUUCAACUUUUGGAUUCUUCCAUUUUUAACGGUUGAAGAAGUGAUGUGUGAAGAUUAAAAUUUUCAUAAUUGUAUUAAUUGUCAAUUUUACUAGACCCACCUUUCAUCUGAUUGACUUCCACUUCUUAGUCCACUUCUGAUUGUGGAGGUCAUAAGAUGCUUCUCAUGUCAAUGGGAGAAUCUCUUCCUUUUUCUUCUUUAAUUUCCCUCAAAAAUAAUUUUUUGUGGAAAAACUAGAGGUAGAUCCCAAUAAUUUGAAACAAUUCAAGGUUGAUUAAUAUUUUAUUUGAACCAAGCCAUGUGCUUGCGAGCUUUAAUACUUGACUUACACGUCUAUUGUACACUAGCUCGAACGAGCUCAAACGGGACAUUAUGGAUUCAAUCCUAGCUCUUGUUUUGGCUUGGAUUGAAUCCAUCGCCACUCCACUUUGAAGUAUUGCUCAUUCUCCUUUCGAAAAAGAUAUUAGAAGAUUGAUUUUGUUAAAAACUCCAUGAAUUAUAAUGAUAUUGUUAAGGCUUUAGCUG
Mangifera indica (mango) is the source of this 1812-nucleotide long non-coding RNA. RefSeq lists it as uncharacterized. The transcript has 3 exons. The record is from RefSeq and is a predicted model, not a curated record. NCBI's taxonomy places the organism in Eukaryota, Viridiplantae, Streptophyta, Magnoliopsida, Sapindales, Anacardiaceae.